CAGUAAUGCACCAACAGGAAUCGCAGAGCUCAGAACAGACUAUUUUGCUAGGAAUAACAGAAAUGUUUUCUUCUUAUUAAAAUCACAAAAGCCUAUUCUCUGAGCAAAUUUGCCUUCACUUGACUGGUGGUAAUGACAGUGGAGGGAACAACUGGUCUUUCCCAUGAGGAUUUUCCACCUUUCUGGGUUUGUGCUGAAUAAACCUCUACCAAGAAUGUGUCUCCAGUGGCCUAAUCCUCUGCUUUGUGACUGAUGAUGUUUACUCAUAUAGACAACAUUAAGACCAAUCACAAACAGGAAUGGAUCUUCCCAUGGUGGAGACUGCUCAACAUAAUCCUUUAUGAGAAACUUGUUUUCACAAACAACAAUGACAACAUGGAAGGAUGUGAUAAUUCAGCAUUUUACUUGUUUUUUUUUUCCAUUUACAAAUCUAACACAAAUGAUCAAUGACCUUUAAUUACAUGCUUUAUCUUUGAAUUUGUAUCAUUCUCCAAUGUAGCCAUUUCUGUUAGAAAGUCCUUACCUUUCUCCCUUUAUUUAUGGCAUCUCUCUGUGUUUUUUGUUUUUUUUUUGCAUUUGAAGAACCUGAAUGGUAAAUUACAUAACCGCAACCAUUAUAGACUGUUACUCACAGAUGUGUUUAGUUUUGCAGAGGAUAAGAUCAGUUCUCCAUGUAGGCAGUACUAAUAAUGCUGUUUGUGGUCAAUGGCAGUUUCCCAUCAUCUCAGUUCACUAAGGAUGUAUUAAUAAAACUUCUUUUUUUGCCCACUUACAAUUUGCCAAGAAUUGUCUCCAGUGGCUAAGUUGCCUGUCU
This is a long non-coding RNA of Electrophorus electricus (electric eel), 814 nucleotides long. The record is from Ensembl. NCBI's taxonomy places the organism in Eukaryota, Metazoa, Chordata, Actinopteri, Gymnotiformes, Gymnotidae.